This 299-nucleotide ribosomal RNA is filed under the name Taenia martis (marten tapeworm). Its description in RNAcentral is "partial 12S ribosomal RNA". Lineage: Eukaryota; Metazoa; Platyhelminthes; Cestoda; Cyclophyllidea; Taeniidae. The record is from RNAcentral.
AUGGUUUGGCAGUGAGUGAUUCUUUUUAGGGGAAGGUGUGGUGUAAAGGAUGUUCCGCCUAUUAUUUUACUUUUAUUAUGUUGGUGUAUAUCUGAUUUAAUAUUAUUGCUUAAUGGUUUAAGUUUGUGUAUAUUUAUUUAAGUCAAGUCUAUGUGCUGCUUAUAAAAGUAUUCAUGCGUUACUUUAAUAAUAUGUUGGUUGAAAUAUUAAUUAAUUUAGGACUUAAUAGUAAUAUUUAAUUAAUUUGUAGAUGUGAAUAUAGUUUAGCUCAGGUACACACCGCCCGUCACCCUCGGUUA